AGGCCCGGGAUUGCCUCAGUAGCGGCGAGUGAAGCGGCAAGAGCUCAGAUUUGAAAUCGUGCUUUGCGGCACGAGUUGUAGAUUGCAGGUUGGAGUCUGUGUGGAAGGCGGUGUCCAAGUCCCUUGGAACAGGGCGCCCAGGAGGGUGAGAGCCCCGUGGGAUGCCGGCGGAAGCAGUGAGGCCCUUCUGACGAGUCGAGUUGUUUGGGAAU
This 212-nucleotide ribosomal RNA is filed under the name Pichia kudriavzevii. RNAcentral describes it as "partial 26S ribosomal RNA". It matches the Rfam family "Eukaryotic large subunit ribosomal RNA", at positions 62 to 281 of the family's 3401-position model. Lineage: Eukaryota; Fungi; Ascomycota; Pichiomycetes; Pichiales; Pichiaceae. The record is from RNAcentral.